RNAcentral lists this ribosomal RNA (468 nucleotides) under uncultured bacterium. Its description in RNAcentral is "partial 16S ribosomal RNA". It matches the Rfam family "Bacterial small subunit ribosomal RNA", at positions 28 to 507 of the family's 1533-position model. The record is from RNAcentral.
GACGAACGCUGGCGGCGUGCUUAACACAAGCAAGUCGAACGGAAAGGCCCUGCUUUUGUGGGGUGCUCGAGUGGCGAACGGGUGAGUAACACGUGAGUAACCUGCCCUUGACUUUGGGAUAACUUCAGGAAACUGGGGCUAAUACCGGAUAGGAGCUCCUGCUGCAUGGUGGGGGUUGGAAAGUUUCGGCGGUUGGGGAUGGACUCGCGGCUUAUCAGCUUGUUGGUGGGGUAGUGGCUUACCAAGGCUUUGACGGGUAGCCGGCCUGAGAGGGUGACCGGCCACAUUGGGACUGAGAUACGGCCCAGACUCCUACGGGAGGCAGCAGUGGGGAAUAUUGCACAAUGGGCGGUAGUCUGAUGCAGCAACGCCGCGUGCGGGAUGACGGCCUUCGGGUUGUAAACCGCUUUCGCCUGUGACGAAGCGUGAGUGACGGUAAUGGGUAAAGAAGCACCGGCUAACUACGUG